RNAcentral lists this ribosomal RNA (1407 nucleotides) under Enterococcus durans. RNAcentral describes it as "bacterial SSU rRNA". It matches the Rfam family "Bacterial small subunit ribosomal RNA". Lineage: Bacteria; Bacillati; Bacillota; Bacilli; Lactobacillales; Enterococcaceae. The record is from RNAcentral.
AGUCGUACGCUUCUUUUUCCACCGGAGCUUGCUCCACCGGAAAAAGAAGAGUGGCGAACGGGUGAGUAACACGUGGGUAACCUGCCCAUCAGAAGGGGAUAACACUUGGAAACAGGUGCUAAUACCGUAUAACAAUCGAAACCGCAUGGUUUUGAUUUGAAAGGCGCUUUCGGGUGUCGCUGAUGGAUGGACCCGCGGUGCAUUAGCUAGUUGGUGAGGUAACGGCUCACCAAGGCCACGAUGCAUAGCCGACCUGAGAGGGUGAUCGGCCACAUUGGGACUGAGACACGGCCCAAACUCCUACGGGAGGCAGCAGUAGGGAAUCUUCGGCAAUGGACGAAAGUCUGACCGAGCAACGCCGCGUGAGUGAAGAAGGUUUUCGGAUCGUAAAACUCUGUUGUUAGAGAAGAACAAGGAUGAGAGUAACUGUUCAUCCCUUGACGGUAUCUAACCAGAAAGCCACGGCUAACUACGUGCCAGCAGCCGCGGUAAUACGUAGGUGGCAAGCGUUGUCCGGAUUUAUUGGGCGUAAAGCGAGCGCAGGCGGUUUCUUAAGUCUGAUGUGAAAGCCCCCGGCUCAACCGGGGAGGGUCAUUGGAAACUGGGAGACUUGAGUGCAGAAGAGGAGAGUGGAAUUCCAUGUGUAGCGGUGAAAUGCGUAGAUAUAUGGAGGAACACCAGUGGCGAAGGCGGCUCUCUGGUCUGUAACUGACGCUGAGGCUCGAAAGCGUGGGGAGCAAACAGGAUUAGAUACCCUGGUAGUCCACGCCGUAAACGAUGAGUGCUAAGUGUUGGAGGGUUUCCGCCCUUCAGUGCUGCAGCUAACGCAUUAAGCACUCCGCCUGGGGAGUACGACCGCAAGGUUGAAACUCAAAGGAAUUGACGGGGGCCCGCACAAGCGGUGGAGCAUGUGGUUUAAUUCGAAGCAACGCGAAGAACCUUACCAGGUCUUGACAUCCUUUGACCACUCUAGAGAUAGAGCUUCCCCUUCGGGGGCAAAGUGACAGGUGGUGCAUGGUUGUCGUCAGCUCGUGUCGUGAGAUGUUGGGUUAAGUCCCGCAACGAGCGCAACCCUUAUUGUUAGUUGCCAUCAUUUAGUUGGGCACUCUAGCAAGACUGCCGGUGACAAACCGGAGGAAGGUGGGGAUGACGUCAAAUCAUCAUGCCCCUUAUGACCUGGGCUACACACGUGCUACAAUGGGAAGUACAACGAGUCGCGAAGUCGCGAGGCUAAGCUAAUCUCUUAAAGCUUCUCUCAGUUCGGAUUGUAGGCUGCAACUCGCCUACAUGAAGCCGGAAUCGCUAGUAAUCGCGGAUCAGCACGCCGCGGUGAAUACGUUCCCGGGCCUUGUACACACCGCCCGUCACACCACGAGAGUUUGUAACACCCGAAGUCGGUGAGGUAAC